Molecule: small RNA, 415 nt
Filed under: Pongo abelii (Sumatran orangutan)
Lineage: Eukaryota; Metazoa; Chordata; Mammalia; Primates; Hominidae
Description: processed transcript
Source: RNAcentral
CUUCAGAGACCUUACUUUUACCAUCUUACCAUGCUGUCUUCUAAACAGGGGUAGGACACUUUAAAGGAAAUACUGCCAUUUCAACCUGGAACCUCAGCCUGUCCUAUUCCCCACAACACUAUGAGCCAUUUCUAAGAGAUCAGCUCCACCGUCAGAGACAAGGCAUAACCUCACAAGCCCCUCCUACAUGCACACUAAACUUCACAGGGAAAUGACAAAUUUAAGACCAAGGGAGAAGAGUAAGACCUACUGUUUGACUUGGCCAACCAUUGAGACACGGGCAGACUCCAGAUUUCGAAUCUGGCCACUCUUCACACUGGGAAAGAAAAGAAGGAAGAGAGAAGGUUAUUCAGUAUCCAUUGUAUCACAUCAUUGGAAUCAAAUAAAUAAUUCUACAGAUUAUGUGAGACCUAAU